Molecule: long non-coding RNA, 1823 nt
Organism: Amblyraja radiata (thorny skate)
Lineage: Eukaryota; Metazoa; Chordata; Chondrichthyes; Rajiformes; Rajidae
Exons: 8
Source: RefSeq, a predicted model, not a curated record
UUGUAUGAACUAAUCUUGCUUCACUAAAAAAGACCUACAGCUUUGGAAAAAGUCUAUAGCCAGUGCAUUCCUAACUCCCCCUGCACUAGAGCUGGUUGUGGCUAUGGGAAGACAUUUUACUCUCUCACUCUCUGUGUUUUGAAGCUUUUUUAUUUUAUUAAUAUUAGGUAUUGUUUCUGCCUCUGUGCUGUUGCACCUGUUAGGGCUGAGCGUCUGGGAAAAUCUCUGGAUCUAUUUGUGGAUUUAGGCCUCAUGUAAAUGCCUGGCUUUUAAGCAAAGGGUUUCCAUAUCCUUGGUGCUUACAUAAAGAGGACUGUACACGUUCGCGGGCGGCCAAAAAAAGCGCACGGACUCGGAUUUCAAACAGACAUUACUCGCUUGUCUAUGCUUACGAGGAGAAAAUAAACUCGGCGCAACUCUGCUUCCCCUGUGCCCGAAGAAAAGUGAUCAGAAGCGGCGCAGUCGCUUUCCUCGGCUGGGACUGAGGCGCUGAACCGUCCGUUUCCCCCAAAAGCGGCAGCAUUGAGGACAAGACUCAGGCCCAAGCCAACAUGUUGAUUUCUUGAAGAAAUGGCCUUUAGUAGUUCUUAUAAACAACAUACAUCAAAUCUGCACCUAGAUGUUGGCUUCUGCUACAGCUCUUUUACUAUGAAAAAUGUCACAGGGAUCCAAGAUGCUCAGUGGCAACCCAGACGCUCCUCCCACUUUGACCGGAAACCGGCCCGAGAUUGCCAUGAAUUGGGUGGUUUCUCCACAAUGGUUGAAAACGACAGCUGGUGCUCUGACUGAAAUUCCAGAAAGCACUCCACCUUUAAUCUAGCACAGUGUUUCGUUAUCCCAACUUUACUUGAUGAAAUUGCGCAAAAAUUUGGAGGAUAUCAAAAAUGGCUGUUCAGCAUUCAGUCCAAACUGCAACAAAUUUUUUAAAAGGUGUUCAACUUCUGUGACAGCUUCUGAAUAAUAACAACCCUCAUCAGUGAUUACCAAGCAUGUGUGUAGUCCAACCUGUUGGAUGAGUUUGUUUGCACAAGACAUCACAGAUGAGGGUCUUACCCAUUCAUGGCUGAUUGCACACAGAGCGAAACGCAGGUUCCAACGUCAACCACUGAGACACGCAGGUGUGAGCAAUCAGUGCAGAUCAGCAGUAAUCCUCAGACACUGGAAUACUUUCAGCAGAGGCAAACCCAGCUGCAUACUUUCAGAUGAAUGAACUGUGUCAGACCUGGCUACAGGCAGCCGAGCUCUGCCUGCUGCUAAAUAUAUACUCACAAUAAACUGUGAGCAUAACACGUCCUCUGAUUUGUGACAUUAUUGAUCCACCUUUUGUAGUUUAAUUAUUUUUGUCAUUAACAGAAUAACUGAUUAACAUCCCCCAUCAGUGAUAUUUUUUAAGAUUUUUCUAUUUUUGAAAGCUGAGAAUCAAAUUUAGAAAGUAUAUGUUUUUGACAUCAACAUUGGUGAUUUAUCCGGAAAUCCACCACAUUUUUAAUCACUUUAUCAGCUGAUAUCUGUAAUUGUUCCUCAUUUUAAAAUUAAUGGUUAUUGGUGUGGGUGCAAUUAGUGGUCCUCAAUGGUCAUUUCUCACUCUGAGAAGGCAAAAGAAGCUGUUGUAACAAAUGCUUUACCUCAGGACCAAACCACAUGCAUGGCAACUGAACAAAAUGGACACUUGGACAGAGAUGUGAUCAGGAUAUUUUUGACUAAAGCCCCUGUCCCACUUAGGAAACCUGAACGGAAACCUCUGGAGACUUUGCGCCCCACCCAAGGUUUAUGUGCGGUUCCCGGAGGUUGCAGGUGGUUGCCGGAGUUUGCAGGUAGUGGAA